GACGAACGCUGGCGGCGUGCUUAACACAUGCAAGUCGAACGGAAAGGCCCUGCUUUUGUUGGGUGCUCGAGUGGCGAACGGGUGAGUAACACGUGAGUAACCUGCCCUUGACUUUGGGAUAACUUCAGGAAACUGGGGCUAAUACCGGAUAGGAGCUCCUGCGGCAUGGUGGGGGUUGGAAAGUUUCGGCGGUUGGGGAUGGACUCGCGGCUUAUCAGCUUGUUGGGGGGGUAGUGGCUUACCAAGGCUUUGACGGGUAGCCGGCCUGAGAGGGUGACCGGCCACAUUGGGACUGAGAUACGGCCCAGACUCCUACGGGAGGCAGCAGUGGGGAAUAUUGCACAAUGGGCGGAAGCCUGGUGCAGCAACGCCGCGUGCGGGAUGACGGCCUUCGGGUUGUAAACCGCUUUCGCCUGUGACGAAGCGUGGGUGACGGUAAUGGGUAAAGAAGCACCGGCUAACUACGUG
RNAcentral lists this ribosomal RNA (468 nucleotides) under uncultured bacterium. Its description in RNAcentral is "partial 16S ribosomal RNA". It matches the Rfam family "Bacterial small subunit ribosomal RNA", at positions 28 to 507 of the family's 1533-position model. The record is from RNAcentral.